Small nucleolar RNA from Carlito syrichta (Philippine tarsier), 67 nucleotides. Lineage: Eukaryota; Metazoa; Chordata; Mammalia; Primates; Tarsiidae. The record is from Ensembl.
GAGAAUGAUGAUUUCACAGACUAGAGUCUCUGACACUGGUCCUGAUGUCAAAACUAAAUUCUGACUC